CAUGCUCCUAGAGGCAUUGUAGGUGUGGCUGUUGUGUCACAUGUGUGUCAUUAGGUGGCAGAGGGGGGAGAGGCUAUGUCUAUGCUCUGUGUUCUGACCUGUGAACAUCUGAAAGAUUAGUAGCCUAACAGU
Molecule: small nucleolar RNA, 132 nt
Organism: Acomys russatus (golden spiny mouse)
Lineage: Eukaryota; Metazoa; Chordata; Mammalia; Rodentia; Muridae
Product: small nucleolar RNA SNORA17
Exons: 1
Source: RefSeq, a predicted model, not a curated record